GACGAACGCUGGCGGCGUGCUUAACACAUGCAAGUCGAACGGAAAGGCCCUGCUUGCAGGGUAUUCGAGUGGCGAACGGGUGAGUAACACGUGGGUGAUCUGCCCUGCACUUCGGGAUAAGCCUGGGAAACUGGGUCUAAUACCGGAUAGGAGCCAUCUUUAGUGUGAUGGUUGGAAAGUUUUUUCGGUGUAGGAUGAGCUCGCGGCCUAUCAGCUUGUUGGUGGGGUAAUGGCCUACCAAGGCGGCGACGGGUAGCCGGCCUGAGAGGGUGGACGGCCACAUUGGGACUGAGAUACGGCCCAGACUCCUACGGGAGGCAGCAGUGGGGAAUAUUGCACAAUGGGCGCAAGCCUGAUGCAGCGACGCCGCGUGGGGGAUGACGGCCUUCGGGUUGUAAACUCCUUUCGCUAGGGACGAAGCCUUUUGUGACGGUACCUAGAUAAGAAGCACCGGCUAACUACGUG
Molecule: ribosomal RNA, 465 nt
Filed under: uncultured bacterium
Lineage: Bacteria
Description: partial 16S ribosomal RNA
Rfam family: Bacterial small subunit ribosomal RNA
Source: RNAcentral